Molecule: unclassified non-coding RNA, 298 nt
Filed under: uncultured fungus
Lineage: Eukaryota; Fungi
Description: sequence contains ITS2
Source: RNAcentral
AACGCAAAUUGCACUUCUUGGUAUUCCGAGGAGUAUGCUUGCUUGAGGGUUGGUCUAUAAAAAAAUCGUAAAAUUUUUUUACGGAUCUGGGUUUUCCGAGUUUUCUCGACUUCGGUUGCCUAAAAUUUAUCUUGACAAUGAGGUAUUAAUUAGAAAUGUACUAUCUUACACGUUGUGAGUUCGUUAAUAAUUAUACCAGUUGUUACGUCGCGUUAUUCAUCUAGUACCUUUGAUUAGGUGAAAUAAUUCAAUUUUUUAAUCCUACCUCAAGUCAAGUAAGGAUACCCGCUGAACUUAA